RNAcentral lists this ribosomal RNA (511 nucleotides) under uncultured bacterium. RNAcentral's name for it is "bacterial SSU rRNA". It matches the Rfam family "Bacterial small subunit ribosomal RNA", at positions 28 to 531 of the family's 1533-position model. The record is from RNAcentral.
GAUGAACGCUAGCGACAGGCUUAACACAUGCAAGUCGAGGGGCAGCAUAAAAGUAGCAAUACUUUGGUGGCGACCGGCGCACGGGUGAGUAACGCGUAUGCAACCUACCUAUCAGAGGGGAAUAACCCGGCGAAAGUCGGACUAAUACCGCAUAAAACAGGGGCACCGCAUGGUGAUAUUUGUUAAAGAAAUUCGCUGAUAGAUGGGCAUGCGUUCCAUUAGGUAGUUGGUGGGGUAACGGCUCACCAAGCCGACGAUGGAUAGGGGAACUGAGAGGUUGGUCCCCCACACUGGUACUGAGACACGGACCAGACUCCUACGGGAGGCAGCAGUGAGGAAUAUUGGUCAAUGGGCGGGAGCCUGAACCAGCCAAGUCGCGUGAAGGAAGAAGGAUCUAUGGUUCGUAAACUUCUUUUGCAGGGGAAUAAAGUGCAGGACGUGUCCUGUUUUGUAUGUACCCUGAGAAUAAGGAUCGGCUAACUCCGUGCCAGCAGCCGCGGUAAAGUAGUCG